GAUCAUGGCUCAGGAUGAACGCUAGCUACAGGCUUAGCACAUGCAAGUCGAGGGGAAACGACAUCGAAAGCUUGCUUUUGAUUGGCGUCGACCGGCGCACGGGUGAGUAACGCGUAUCCAACCUGCCCACCACUUGGGGAUAACCUUGCGAAAGUAAGACUAAUACCCAAUGACGUCUUUAGAAGACAUCUGAAAGAGAUUAAAGAUUUAUCGGUGAUGGAUGGGGAUGCGU
Molecule: ribosomal RNA, 232 nt
Filed under: uncultured bacterium
Lineage: Bacteria
Description: partial 16S ribosomal RNA
Rfam family: Bacterial small subunit ribosomal RNA
Source: RNAcentral